Phacochoerus africanus (Common warthog) is the source of this 957-nucleotide long non-coding RNA. RefSeq lists it as uncharacterized. The record is from RefSeq and is a predicted model, not a curated record. Lineage: Eukaryota; Metazoa; Chordata; Mammalia; Artiodactyla; Suidae. The transcript has 3 exons.
CCUGGAACCGGCCGAGAGUCACCCUUAUAUGCCCAGCACCAGGCAGGCAGGGGCCAAGGAAAGGAACAGAGAAGUGGGAUACAGCCUCCCACCCUGAGUCCCAAAGCAGAGCCCAGUGUCAGCAGAUUAGCUGACUGUGUCCAGGAGAGCAGACCCAAGUUUGGUUGGUUAACAAAAGGAGAGCACACUGCCCAACACCCUGCAAAAUGACCCAAAACUGCUCUUCUCUGAGUCUCCUCAGAGUCCCACUCAUGUCAGCCGAGAAGCCCCCGCCAUGGCAAGUGCAGCAGCUCGGCAAGCGGGGUCCGCCCUCUCAAAAGGAGUUCAUCUUGUCCCUGGUUCCAUGCCAGCAACCCUAAAAGAAAAGAUGUUCGACCUCAUCAGUAAUCAAGAAAAUGCAACUUUAAAGAGGAGGAUGUCACGUUUUCACUUAGAACAGAAACAAAAGGGUUGGUGGAAGACUGGCCCACCAAGGUGUCCACACCCUCCUCCCUGGAUACAUUGGGUUACAUGGCAAGGGGACAUUGAAGUCACAGGCAGAAUUAAGGGUGCUAAUCAGCUGACCUGACCUGAGGAGAGAAGCCUGCUGCACAGCAGAGUCAGUAUUGGAGCAAUGCCAUGUGGAAAGACCCCCUCUGCAGUCAUCCAGACUUCACUGGCUUUGAAGAUGGAAAGGCCAGAGGCUGAGGAUCAGUAUCUCUCCUAGAGAUUCCAAAGGAGCACAGCCCUGCCAACACUUUGAUUUUAGCCCAGUGAGACUCCUGUUGGACUUCUGACUUAUGGAACUGUAAGAUAAUAAACCAUGUUGCUUUUAAACCACUAAGUAUAUGGUAAGUUAUCAUAGCAAUAAUAGGAAACUAAUAUAAGAUCCAAUGUUGAUAGGUAAUUGAGGAACUGGGCAACUAGAUGGUAAAAUCUCCAAAAUACACAAAUACCUCCUACAGCUCAAAAUCAAAA